Trichomycterus rosablanca is the source of this 579-nucleotide long non-coding RNA. RefSeq lists it as uncharacterized. The transcript is spliced from 4 exons. The record is from RefSeq and is a predicted model, not a curated record. NCBI's taxonomy places the organism in Eukaryota, Metazoa, Chordata, Actinopteri, Siluriformes, Trichomycteridae.
GGCCGGUUCAGUGUAUUCAGAAGUUUAAGAUUCAGGAAGAGGUGAUCGAGCAGGCGAACAGUACCCAGUACGACAUGGCAGCGGCGGUGUUUACCCGGAGUGUGGAGCGGGCACUGAGUGUCUCUGCUGCGCUGGAGGCUGGUACCAUGUGGGUGAACUGUUAUAACACCCUCCACGCCCAGACUCCGUUUGGUGGUUAUAAGAUGUAGGGGAAUGGACGAGAGCUGGGCGAGUACGCGCUGGCGGAAUACUGUGAGGUCAAAGCCGUCACCAUCAAGCUUAACGAGCAGGGCCAAAAGUAUUGGGACGCCUGAUCAUGAGCUCGUCUGAGAGCCGGAGCGGCUUCGAGGCGAAUCUCCGAAUGUACUAAAGCGACUCGACCAAAACCCACAACAUAUAUAGAGAGACCAGAAGCAGUUCACAGACGAACGUCAUCCAAUCGGACGGAUUUUGAGAGGAUCUGGCUUGACGAACGGGGUAAACAGCCUAAAUCCAGAUGUGUGAAGCUUGUAGAGACGCAUCCAAGUGACCUGCAGCUGUAAUCGCUGUCAAAGUGGCAUCCACAGACUUCUGAAUAAA